Aphis gossypii (cotton aphid) is the source of this 1984-nucleotide long non-coding RNA. RefSeq lists it as uncharacterized. The record is from RefSeq and is a predicted model, not a curated record. NCBI's taxonomy places the organism in Eukaryota, Metazoa, Arthropoda, Insecta, Hemiptera, Aphididae. The transcript has 5 exons.
ACAAUGUCGCUUACAGCAUAACUAUAGACGAUCGGUAUAAUAAUAAUAAUAAUAAUAAUAAUAAUAAUAAUAACAUAAUAGUCGUUACAAAAUACCAAUCAAUGCUCAGUUUUUGACAGAAGCUUAUGUAAUGGACCAGAUCUUCUGUAGGUUUUAAAUAUUAUAUUAUAUUUUCUAAUAUAAUAUUUGUUGCACACUUCCAUCAUUGUUAUCGUCAUAAUUUACCUAUUUAUAUAAAGUAUGAUACAAUAUAUUAUAACUCAACAAAUUAUUUUUCCACUAGCUGUCGAUAUUUUCAAACGAUCAUUGAUCAGUUAUAUACUCGUACUAAAGCAUUAUAAAAAUACAAAUUGACAAAAAAAAUUUUGUUUGAUAGCCACUAAUCGAACUGACUAUGGGAGGUAUUCAUUUAAUUUUAAUAUUGAUAAAAUGUGAAGAAUCGAUUAUUAAUGGGAUAAACAAUAUUAUACACAACUAAUCAUGUAUUUCAACACAGCAAUAUCUACUAUAAAUGGUCAUUACUCGGUGAAAUACGUGACGUCGCUCGAUUUCCGCUACGGACUAAACGACGUAUUGCGAUUCAAAUACACAUCUAUUAAAUUUAAAAUAUGUCUCGGAGGACACCAGCGGCAGCGUUUUAAAAUUUUAAAUAUUAUAUUACAUAUGAAGUUAUAUGCCCUAAAUAUACCAGAUUUUCGUCUAAGUGUCUCAAUGAUGCUAAUAAUAAUAGUUGCAGCCGGUUCAAUCGGUAUAAAUUGUAUCAAUGCGAUAAAUAGAAACAAGUAUAAAUGUGUACCGGCGAAGUAUUGCAGUGUGAAUAUAAUUAUGAAUGAGUGAACACUCUAAACGAUUAUUAGUUGUUAUUAUACACGAUUGCGUUAUAAUAUACGUACGUAAUGUCAAAUUGUCGUUUGUCACAUCUACAAUAAGAACGCGUGUACAUUGAAACGCCAAAAACUGUACAGUUACAUUUUAUCUAUAUGCGUAUAUAAUUUAAGAUUUAUUACAAUGGAAUAAUAAAUAUGACGAAGAAACACUUGAACACUACAAUAUUUGACCAUUUAUGCUACGGAAAAGAAGUAUUAUUAAAUUCGUACCUGUAUUAAAACAUAUAUAUUAUAUGGUGUAUUGUUGUAAUGAGAUCAAGUUUCAUACGGACAGUAAAGGCUAUAAGCUAAUUAACAUAAACAUAGUUGGGGUUGGAUGGAUCCAUCCCUUAUUCCCUUAGCCGCUAAACAAACAUCGGUAUAUGGCUAUACACAGUGAACAAAAGACAAUUAACCAGUUUAGCACUCUUAAUUAAAUACUCGACGAGGGAGAAAGAUACCCAGUGUCCAGAACUGGUUUCGAUGGGAACGAAGUAGGGUGAUAUUAUAAUAACCCCCUUCAUAUUGACCAUUGCAGAGCGAAAAUUCGUUUAAUUUAAAAGCCACAACAACAACAACAACGACGACGAAAAUUAAAAGCAUUGGAAUUAUUUGGUUUGUAUUUUGAUCGGUAAUCGGAAUACAGAUCUCCGGGGAAAAAAAUUCCCAGCAUCGUCACGGUGUUUACCUACAGCUCGUUGCAUAUAAUAUAUUAUAUUGUUAUAAAUUUAAAAUCAACAACGCUCCGGGGAAAUCGUUUUGUUUUGGCGAACUUAAUGAAAUGGAUUUCGCGGUGAUCAUAUCCUCUCGACGCCACCACUAUACCCUGCAGUACCAUUGUGAUGCGAACACGUGUUGAUUUUUUGAAGCAUAUCCAGCUCGACCGUAAACCAUCACGUACGUAUAAUACUCCUUUUCGUUUCUUUUUAAUCCCCGUAUAAAGUCCUUGAUCCGGACGGUCGCUAUUUUCGAACGCGACUAUUAUUAUCAUUAUUAUUAUUACUAUUAUUAUUAUUAUUAUUAUUAUUAUUCCCGCCGCGGUCGCAGUAAGACCCUGGCAUACGCAGAACACAGACAGCGUGCAGAAAUGCAACGAGAGAGAAGAAAGCCGGAAAAAA